AUGAAGGUUUUGGCGUGGAACUGCAACGGCCUUGGAAACGCCGCAGCAGUACGUGCGUUGGUGGAUGUCCAGCGCAGUUGGGCUCCUGAUGUGAUGUUCUUAUCAGAAACUCAUUUAGAUAGCUCUCCGGCAGAGUGUUUGAGGAAAGAAUUGAAGAUGGACCAAAAGCUUGUGUGCCCUAGUGAUGGGAGAAAAGGUGGACUGUUGAUGUUCUGGAAGAAGGAGAUCAAUAUAUAA
Molecule: ribosomal RNA, 237 nt
Filed under: Triticum aestivum (bread wheat)
Lineage: Eukaryota; Viridiplantae; Streptophyta; Magnoliopsida; Poales; Poaceae
Description: partial small subunit ribosomal RNA
Source: RNAcentral